RNAcentral lists this ribosomal RNA (648 nucleotides) under uncultured bacterium. RNAcentral describes it as "bacterial SSU rRNA". It matches the Rfam family "Bacterial small subunit ribosomal RNA", at positions 8 to 636 of the family's 1533-position model. The record is from RNAcentral.
AGGGUUUUGAUCCUGGCUCAGAUUGAACGCUGGCGGCAUGCCUAACACAUGCAAGUCGAACGGAAACGAUGGGAGCUUGCUCCCAGGCGUCGAGUGGCGGACGGGUGAGUAAUGCUUAGGAAUCUGCCCAGUAGUGGGGGACAACUCGAGGAAACUCGAGCUAAUACCGCAUACGCCCUACGGGGGAAAGCGGAGGAUCUUUCGGGACUUCGCGCUAUUGGAUGAGCCUAAGUCGGAUUAGCUUGUUGGUGAGGUAAAAGCUCACCAAGGCGACGAUCCGUAGCUGGUCUGAGAGGACGAUCAGCCACACUGGGACUGAGACACGGCCCAGACUCCUACGGGAGGCAGCAGUGGGGAAUAUUGCACAAUGGGCGAAAGCCUGAUGCAGCAAUGCCGCGUGUGUGAAGAAGGCCUGCGGGUUGUAAAGCACUUUCAGUAGAGAAGAAAAGUUUAGGGUUAAUACCCCUGAAUCUUGACGUUACCUACAGAAGAAGCUCCGGCUAACUCCGUGCCAGCAGCCGCGGUAAUACGGAGGGAGCGAGCGUUUAAUCGGGAAUUACUGGGCGGUAAAGCGCGCGGUAGGUGGCUCUUUUAAGUCGGAUGUGAAAAGCCCUGGGCCUCAACCUGGGAAUUUGCAUUCGAAACUGC